UUGCUGUAUCUAUGGGGCUGUAUCUAUGGGGUUUUGCUGUAUCUAUGGGGCUGUAUCUAUGGGCUGUAUCUAUGGGGUUUUUGUGUCUCUAUGGGGCUGGUUAUGGGGUUUAUCUAUGGGGUAUUAUUGUCUCUAUGGGGCUGUAUCUAUGGGGCUGGUUAUGGGGUAUUAUUGUCUCUAUGGGGCUGUAUCUAUGGGGUGUAUCUAUGGGGCUGUAUCUAUGGGGCUGGUUAUGGGUUUUGCUGUAUAUCUAUGGGGUUUUGCUGUCUCUAUGGGGCUGUAUCUAUGGGGCUGUAUCUAUGGGGCUGUAUCUAUGGGGCUGGUUAUGGGGUAUUAUUGUCUCUAUGGGGUUUUGCUGUAUCUAUGGGGCUGGUUAUGGGGUUUGCUGUAUAUCUAUGGGGUUUUGCUGUAUAUCUAUGGGGUAUUAUUGUCUCUAUGGGGCUGGUUAUGGGGUAUUAUUGUCUCUAUGGGGCUGUAUCUAUGGGGUUUUAUUGUCUCUAUGGGGCUGGUUAUGGGGUUUAUCUAUGGGGUAUUAUUGUCUCUAUGGGGCAGACAUCGACGAAUGUUCCCGUGCCGACGUUUGUGGGGACGGCGGCAGCUGCACCAACAUCCCGGGACAUUUCAGCUGUGAAU
This 633-nucleotide long non-coding RNA is filed under the name Coturnix japonica (Japanese quail). Its description in RNAcentral is "lncRNA (ENSCJPG00005002140.1)". Lineage: Eukaryota; Metazoa; Chordata; Aves; Galliformes; Phasianidae. The record is from RNAcentral.